UACAGGGGGUGCAAACGUUGCUCGGAAUCAUUGGGCGUAAAGCGCACGUAGGCGGUUCGUUAUGUCGGAUGUGAAAACCCUUGGCUUAACCGAGGAAGUGCAUCCGAAACUGGCGAGCUAGAGUACGAAAGAGGAUCGCGGAAUUCCCGGUGUAGAGGUGAAAUUCGUAGAUAUCGGGAGGAACACCGGUGGCGAAGGCGGCGAUCUGGGUCGAUACUGACGCUGAGGAGCGACAGCGUGGGGAGCAAACAGG
Molecule: ribosomal RNA, 253 nt
Filed under: uncultured bacterium
Lineage: Bacteria
Description: partial 16S ribosomal RNA
Rfam family: Bacterial small subunit ribosomal RNA
Source: RNAcentral